GUCAGAAUUUAAAAGGGGAAAAUCGGAUGGACCAAGUAAUUAGAGGCCUGUUAACCUGAGAUUGAUCAUUAGCAAGAUAAUGAGUGACUGACAUGGAAAUUGGAAGGGAAAGCAAUACGCCUUCUCAUGGAAGUUUUUCUAGGGUCUGCAAUUCAAGAAGGAUGUUCAUAAAUUGGAGAGGAUUCAGAGAAGAGCCAUGAGAAAGAUUAAAUGACUAAACCAACUUCACAGUGGUAGACUCAAGAUCACACCCUCUGCUGAUGCUUCAAACAAUGAAGAGGCCACAGUGCUGAUGACCGAUUAGCAAGAGACAAUGAUUUGUAAAAGAGCUUAACCUUCCUGGGAACAUGAGGGUCAGCUCAUGAAGAAGGCUACAGAGACAUGUGACAAUGUCACUUGAUAGUGGAACUCAUCUUGAUUGCUGUAAUUUUCCAUAAGAAGCUGAGAGGGGUCACACUUGAAACAAAGGACUUCCGCUUCAUGCAAAUCCUAUUUAAAGGUGGAAAUGAGGUAAUCCUGUUCGUCAGUUCGCCAGGGGCACCCCACCCAAGAGGACUGUGGGAAACAACUAAGACUGAAUUGGGGGGAGGAACUGGACCCUGGCUGUGAAGUUUAUUAGGGUGAAAUCUUACAUGUAUCUAUUUUUUCAGUGUAGCAAGCUUAGCUUAUGUGUUUGUUUAUUUUGUUCAUUUACUUACUUUGUUGAGUCUGCUACCUCUUAUGACCACUUACAUUCUAUCUUUCCAUACUUCAUAAAAUUACUUCGCUUAGUAAUAAA
Molecule: long non-coding RNA, 778 nt
Organism: Pelodiscus sinensis (Chinese soft-shelled turtle)
Lineage: Eukaryota; Metazoa; Chordata; Testudines; Trionychidae
Source: RefSeq, a predicted model, not a curated record